AGCCGGGCCUGUUCGUGGCCUUGGCCCCACGAACGAGACCGUCCAGCUGGCAGAUUCAAGUUUCCGAGGCUCUUCAUUUCAGCUAGUUUCCCAAGCCCAGGAUCUUUUCUCUUACUGGAGGCUACUUCUCAAAGAGCAGAGCACAGAACCGGCAGCCCAAGAACCAGCCACCUCUUUUUAUCCAAGCAUGGCCACAGGAGGAAUCCCAGCAGCCAGAAGCCAGCAUGGCUGAGCAUUUUGACUAAAUAUGGGAUAUGAAAAUGAAAUGAGAUCGCCAUCUCCCUGGGCUCCCAUCUAUGCCAAG
Long non-coding RNA from Tachyglossus aculeatus (Australian echidna), 304 nucleotides. RefSeq lists it as uncharacterized. The record is from RefSeq and is a predicted model, not a curated record. The transcript is spliced from 3 exons. NCBI's taxonomy places the organism in Eukaryota, Metazoa, Chordata, Mammalia, Monotremata, Tachyglossidae.